UAAAACCGAGUUGAGAGUCACUUCAACGGUGAUUCAUUUUGAUCACGUGAUGACAAACUAUAAAUUAUAUAAUACUGUUUGGUUACAUAUAAAUUAAUAUCAGUUAUUAUUAUUACUAUCCGGAGAUUAAAAUUUUGUAGCACAAUUAGAGGUUAUAAAUGCAGAACGGAUAGUUUUUCUUUUAGGUAUCGAGUACACAAUUUAUCCUUUAUGAUGCAUAGAAAUAGAGGAUCUGUGGAAAUACCACUCGAGUAUGAGAAACGUAUUUUAUUACGGAUCCAUCGAAGCAAUACGUGAUGACGUAACUCGUAACUAAACCAGUUUUGGAGUUGACUUUGGAUGUGAUAAAACAAGAAACGUAAAACAAACGUAAUAUUUUUCAUACAUAAAUUGUAUAUAAGGAAAUUAACGCAAUAUUAUACAUUUAAUGUGUAUUACCUACUUUAUAUAAACUAUUGUGCAAAUGGAUUAGCUUAAUGAUGGACCUAAAAACAAUCAUAUGUUUGCAUUUCAUUCACAAUACUAUUAAAUUAAAUUCAUCAAUCAAUCAAUUUCAUUCACAAUACUAUUAAAUUAAAUUAAAGAAAUAAUUAAUUAAUUAUCAUGUAUUUUAACAAGCAUUUGAAAAUGAAACCUUAUUAGAAUGAAAACUGUACGCCUGUAGCACUGUCCCAUUUUCUUUAUACCAAUAAUAAUAAUGUUUGUACGGAAUAUCACUAAUAUCAAUUUUGUAUGGGUUGUUUCCCUAAUUCAUAUGGAUUCCUGUGUUAUGUAAAAUGAAACAAUGCUAUUCAAAUAUUUCAAUUCAAUAGACUGUUUUAAAUAAGAAUAUUACACAAUACAUAGCUGAUGUAAUUUAAUCCACUUCUAUGGAAUUGGUUAUGGAGAGACAUUGACGGAAUAAGCGUAUAAACAUUUUAUUCACAUUUUCACUGUAGUUUCACUUAUGGAGAGUAAAAACUUUUUGGUGUAACCUUUAAUAAUAGAUGGGAGCACUUCCUAUUAACAUAAAUACUUAGUAUGUAAUUGAUAUGUAUAA
Danaus plexippus (monarch butterfly) is the source of this 1039-nucleotide long non-coding RNA. RefSeq lists it as uncharacterized. Lineage: Eukaryota; Metazoa; Arthropoda; Insecta; Lepidoptera; Nymphalidae. The transcript is spliced from 3 exons. The record is from RefSeq and is a predicted model, not a curated record.